RNAcentral lists this long non-coding RNA (1634 nucleotides) under Olea europaea (common olive). Its description in RNAcentral is "long non-coding RNA (OEUR_LNC011323)". Lineage: Eukaryota; Viridiplantae; Streptophyta; Magnoliopsida; Lamiales; Oleaceae. The record is from RNAcentral.
UAAUACUUCCCAAUACUCUCAAUUUCAUCUUGCCAAACAUAACAUUGGAGUCUAUUGUUGAGGAUUUAUUCAACAUAUUCACGAUCAGGGGACAGAAGAAAACGCGAACAUUAAAAGUCGUAUAGGUUAAAAAAAAUAAACAUAAGACAUCUUAACUUUGGUGGCACCUACAAGAAAUUCAAACCAUGUUCUCUUUUCUAUUGAGGUAAAAGAGAAUUUAUCCAUUUCGUGAAAUCAUUUCUAGGUACGCGAAAGGGUGUACAAAAAGGCAAUUACACUACUAUUUUACAUCACUAAAGAACGUAAAUUUAGGGGACGAUUUAGACUACUUUAAUUGCAAUUAACGUGCUAGAAUUCACUUAAUAAUACAAGAAAAAACCAUAGAGUUAAGCAACGUAAUUCGAAUGAAAAGAAUGUUUACCUUUUUUACUAAUCUAAUAUAUAUAAUUUGCAGAAAAAAGCAAAACACGUUAUAAUUAUUAUGGAAAUGAGCAUUUUGCCAUACCUCUAUUAAGCAAGAAUGAAGAUAAGUAUUCCCUGUUCAAUUAUGAUCAGCCUGCAGAAGCUUUGGAGAACCAGCUGAUACUCCUACUUCAGAUGGAUCCAUUCUUUGCAAAUUCCCAAUACAAAAAUCACAAAAAAGAGAAAAGCAUUCAGUAAAAUUUGUGAAAUAUUGAGUAAUCGUAAUACACAAAGAAUCCCUUCAACUCAAACUCCAAAUUUACAUGAAACUCAUAAAAACAACUAGCUGCUUUAGCACAAACAAAAGCCAACAAGAUGGCAUCAGUUAAUGAUACAUGGUUGAUGGUACAUGUUUUUCACCAAAACUUCCAAGCUAGUAUAAUAAAUUGAUAAUAGCACAUUGCAUUCCUUGGUGUAACUUCAUUUGAAAAUACAAAACAGCAUUUAUAAUACAAGGUCGGAUCUUCAAGCAACAGAAGUAAAAACAUUCAAGUUUAUUGGACCGAGAAAAAUGUAACUCAAGUCAAACAGAAGGGCGAACAUCUUGUAAUAAGUUCAUUGAAAAUAAGGCUCUAAACUGUAACCGCUUGUGCACUCAGACUUGGAAUCUCUCGAAAGUGCAUCGUAUUUUGUGCCUUUCUUUUAUAGUCUUUUACAAUAAACCAACACGGAACUAAAAGAAAAUAGAAAAUAUGCACACACGGAGACAAACACACAAAGAAAAUUCUUUCUUUUUUGUUUUCUUUUUUACUUUCAAAGCUAAUAACAAAAAGUUUUGUUUACUUUAAUCAGAGAAGAACACAAUGUUCUAUCUUCUUCUGCUUAACAAUAACACCUAUGCGAACCUACACUCUUCCAGAAAAACAUUAACCUAAUAAAUCCCAAAAGCAAAAGGUCAAUAGAAAAGAAAUGUUAAAAGUUGUUAAAAAAAGAGUUAUACCCAUCUUCAAGCACAGAAGUUGGAGAGUCUGAUAGGAACUCGUUCUUUUCAUUUUCAGGAACCAUUCUCAAACCCUAAUCAGAAAAAUUCAAAUCCCACAAUAAAGAAAAACAAAAAACAACCCGAACCAGGCAUCUCCAUUGUCAACAUAUACAAGAAACCCCCAAAAAAAAAAAUCAAUGAAUCACAACUUCACAAACCCAACCUCCGAUGUUGAUUGAAAAGAAUUUAG